Molecule: ribosomal RNA, 459 nt
Filed under: uncultured bacterium
Lineage: Bacteria
Description: partial 16S ribosomal RNA
Rfam family: Bacterial small subunit ribosomal RNA
Source: RNAcentral
CCUACGGGUGGCAGCAGUGAGGAAUAUUGGUCAAUGGCCGAGAGGCUGAACCAGCCAAGUCGCGUGAGGGAAGAAUGUCCUAAGCAUUGUAAACCUCUUUUGUCAGGGGGCAAAAUCAGCCACGUGAGGGUGUCGGAGAGUACUUGAAGAAAAAGCAUCGGCUAACUCCGUGCCAGCAGCCGCGAUAAUACGGGGGAUGCGAGCGUUAUCCGGAUUUAUUGGGUUUAAAGGGUGCGGAGGCGGGUUAUCAAGUCAGCGGUAAAAGCGCGGGGCUCAACUCCAGCCAGCCGUUGAAACUGGUUGUCUUGAGAGGACGAGAGGUAUGCGGAAUGCGUAGUGUAGCGGUGAAAUGCGUAGAUAUUGCGCAGAACUCCGAUUGCGAAGGCAGCAUACCGGCGGCGGACUGACGCUGAGGCACGAAAGCGUGGGUAUCGAACAGGAUUAGAUACCCGAGUAGUC